AUGGCCUGGAUUUCACUUAUACUCUCUCUCCUGGCUCUCAGCUCAGGGGCCAUUUCCCAGGCUGUUGUGACUCAGGAAUCUGCACUCACCACAUCACCUGGUGAAACAGUCACACUCACUUGUCGCUCAAGUACUGGGGCUGUUACAACUAGUAACUAUGCCAACUGGGUCCAAGAAAAACCAGAUCAUUUAUUCACUGGUCUAAUAGGUGGUACCAACAACCGAGCUCCAGGUGUUCCUGCCAGAUUCUCAGGCUCCCUGAUUGGAGACAAGGCUGCCCUCACCAUCACAGGGGCACAGACUGAGGAUGAGGCAAUAUAUUUCUGUGCUCUAUGGUACAGCAACCAUUUC
Non-coding RNA from Mus musculus (house mouse), 351 nucleotides. Lineage: Eukaryota; Metazoa; Chordata; Mammalia; Rodentia; Muridae. The record is from the annotation of a RefSeq genome assembly.